UAUCCGCCCGGGAACUACGAGCAUUAGCUUGAAACCCAAAGGACUUGGCGGUGCUUUAGAUCCACCUAGAGGAGCCUGUUCUAGAACCGAUAAUCCCCGUUAAACCUCACCUUUCCUUGUCUUAUUCCGCCUAUAUACCGCCGUCGUCAGCUUACUCUGUGAAGACAAUACAGUGAGCUCAACCGGUACCACCCCAAACGCCAGGUCGAGGUGUAGCGAAUGGAAAGGGAAGAAAUGGGCUACAUUCAGUAACUAAUACUGAAUUACGAAUGAUAUUUUGAAACAAAUAUCUGAAGGAGGAUUUAGUAGUAAGCAGGGAAUAGAGAGCCCUGCUGAAGCUGGCCCUGAAGCGCGUACACACCGCCCGUCACUCUCCCCGAGCUAAGUAUCAACCCAUAUCUAAUAAGUUAAAUCUGUAAAGGGGAGGCAAGUCGUAACAUGGUAAGUGUACCGGAAGGUGCGCUUGGAAAAACUCAGGGCAUAGCUAAACACAGAUAAAGCGUCUCCCUUACACUGAGAAGGUAUCCGUGCAAACCGGAUUGCUCUGAAACCCAAUAGCUAGCCCGCCCCCUAAAAUAAAACUAAUAACCAUAUAUAACCCCACACGCACUAAGCAAAAUACAACAAACCAUUUUUCCCUCUUAGUAUAGGAGAUAGAAAAGAAACCCGGAGCAAUAAAGAUAAGUACCGCAAGGGAAAGCUGAAAGAGAAAUG
Molecule: ribosomal RNA, 714 nt
Filed under: Halichoeres maculipinna (clown wrasse)
Lineage: Eukaryota; Metazoa; Chordata; Actinopteri; Labriformes; Labridae
Description: partial 12S ribosomal RNA
Rfam family: Bacterial small subunit ribosomal RNA (bases 1-479)
Source: RNAcentral